GACGAACGCUGGCGGCGUGCUUAACACAUGCAAGUCGAACGGAAAGGCCCUGCUUUUGUGGGGUGCUCGAGUGGCGAACGGGUGAGUAACACGUGAGUAACCUGCCCUUGACUUUGGGAUAACUUCAGGAAACUGGGGCUAAUACCGGAUAGGAGCUCCUGCUGCAUGGUGGGGGUUGGAAAGUUUCGGCGGUUGGGGAUGGACUCGCGGCUCAUCAGCUUGUUGGUGGGGUAGUGGCUUACCAAGGCUUUGACGGGUAGCCGGCCUGAGAGGGUGACCGGCCACAUUGGGACUGAGAUACGGCCCAGACUCCUACGGGCGGCAGCAGUGGGGAGUAUUGCACAAUGGGCGGAAGCCUGAUGCAGCAACGCCGCGUGCGGGAUGACGGCCUUCGGGUUGUAAACCGCUUUCGCCUGUGACGAAGCGUGAGUGACGGUAAUGUGUAAAGAAGCACCGGCUAACUACGUG
Molecule: ribosomal RNA, 468 nt
Filed under: uncultured bacterium
Lineage: Bacteria
Description: partial 16S ribosomal RNA
Rfam family: Bacterial small subunit ribosomal RNA
Source: RNAcentral